UUGAUAGUACUAGAUAUAGGUGGAAGACAACUUAUAUAUGUGUGAUUCAUUGAUAGAUAUAUGUAAUUUCUUUGAUGGAAAGUUUGAGUUGAUUUCAAUUGUUCAAUUAAUGUGUAUUUUAAUGUUGUUGGACUUCAAAAUAGGUGCAUGAUAAAUUAUAUGGAUAUUUUAAAAUAUAUAAUUUUUCAUUUGAAAAAAAAUGCAAAGCGUGUCAAGAGUACACAAACCCCGUUAUUCUUGACACCAAAUUACUUGACGCAUAAAAAAUGUUAAAAAAUCUUAUAUACUUACACUUUUUACCUGUUAAGUAUAAUUAUACUUGACACUUAAAAACUGCAAAGUAAACCUGAAAACCCCUGUGCUAUUAUAUCUAGAAGUAUGCAUGAUCCUAAAAACUCCUAAGUUGUUAUUGAAACACCUGUUUCUGAAACUGUUAAUACUUCGAACGUAGAAUGUGAAUUAGAACUUAAGAGAAGUAAAGGAAAGAGAACAGAGAAAAGUUUUGGUCCAGAUUUCUUAAGCACCUUUAUAGUAGAAAGACGUGAUGAAAUUGAUUGUAACUUCACGAAUUUGUUUUUAAUUGGGGAACCUACAACUUAUCAAGAGGCCCUAAACUCUGUAGAGUCAAGUAUGUGAAAAAAGGUUAUUAAGAGUGAACUAGAUUCACUGACCAUGAAUCAAACAUGGGACUUAGUAGACCUUUUCAUGGGAUAAGCCAAUUAAGUGUAAGUGGAUAUUCAAAAGAAAAACAAAAUCAAAUGGAUCAAUAGAAAGAUACAAGGCUAGAUUAGUGGUGGUAGGGUAUACUCAAAAGCAAUGUAUUGACUACUUUGACACAUAUUCCCCUGUAAUUAAGAUAAUCACAAUUAGGACCUUGAUUGCACUAGCUGCCAUACAUAGCCUUCUUAUUUAACAGAUGGACCUUAAAACUGCCUUUUUAAAUGGUUAUUUAGAAGAAGAAAUUUAUAUGACACAACCAGAAGGGUUCAAAAUUCCUGACCAAGAAAAUAAAGUGUGUAAACUUAAAAACUCUCUCUAUAGUCUUAAGUAAGCUCCUAAACAGUGGUAUAAAAAAAUUAAUAAUACUUUGAUAAACAAUGGAUUUAAAGUAAAUUUCUCAGAUACAUGUGUUAUUCAAAGUUGUUUGGAGCUGAUUGCAUAUUAAUAUGUUUAUAUGUUGAUGACAUGUUAAUCUUUGGAACAAAUAUGGAGUUGAUAAAUAUACCAAGUUGUUCCUUUCAUCACACUUUAAAUGAAAGACCUAAGAGAAACAAACAUAAUUCUUGGUGUUAAAAUAAGAAAAAAUAAAAAUGGUUUGUCCUCGUGUCAAUCGCACUACGUAGAGAAAAUACUAAAGAAAUUUGAUUCCUUUGAUGUUUUUUCAGUAAGAACUCCAUAUGAUGCUAGUAAACAUCUUAAGAAGAAUAAAGAAGAUAGUAUGUCUCAACCUGAAUAUGCAAAGAUCAUAAGUAGUGUUAUGUAUUUAAUGAACUACACUAAACCUGAUAUUGCAUAUGCUGUCGGUAGAUUGAGUAGGUAUACACACAAUCCUGAUUGAAACCAUUGAGAUGCUUUACGCCAUCUAUUGAGAUAUCUUAAAGGGAUGAUAAAUUACUGUUUGAACUUUAACAAAUUUCCUGCCGUAUUAGAAGGAUAUUGUGAUGUAAAUUAGGUUACAGACAAUGAUAAAGUUAACUCUACUAGUGGGUAUAUAUUUUUGCUCGGGGGUGGAGCAAUUCUUGGAAGUAUGCAAAACAAACUUGUAUAGCUAGAUCCACUAUAGAAUCUGAGUUUAUAGCAUUAGAGUUGGCGGGAUAAGAGGCUGAGUGGAUCAAAAGCCUACUAGGAGAUGUACCAUUGUGGGGGGAAUCUGUACCUAUGUCUACACACUAUGAUUCAUAGGUUGCCAUCGAUAUUAUUAAGAACAAUGUCUAUAAUGGCAAAAGAAGACAUAUACGUCUUAGGAAUGCAGCUAUGAAACAACUGCAAAAGGAAGUAACUAUUUCCUUAGAGUUUGUUCGAUUUAAGAAGAACCUGGCUGAUCCUUUAACCAAAGGACUAACAAGGAAAGUGGUUCCAAAUUCCUUAGUGAACAUUGGCCUUAAGCCCUUUGAAGAUCUAUAACACUUGGUAUUAGGUGGUCUAUUGUGAUAGACUUGAUGGUCCAUAGCCCCUUAUUGGGUGGUGUUGCGAUAGACUUGAUGGUCUAUAGCCCGUUGUAUGGAAAAUCCUUAAAUGGACUUAAUGGAUGAUACAAAAACCUUUGAGUGGUCCAAAGUUGGUAUUGAUAAUAAUGAAGUCUCCAUAGCUCUUUUAGAGUGGUUUAGUUUGGCAAACUUGAUGGAGCAUGUAACGUGAUAGUGAAGGUGGAAAGAGUUUAAAUGUCCCUUUCUAGAGCUCUCACGAUGACCCGAGGUUCAUUCUAUGUCAUGAACCUAAAGGCACAAAUCUAUAUUGCAAAAACAAAAUCUAACUAGGGAUAAAACGUGUCGUAAGGGUCUCAACCAGUGUUAUAGGAAGUUCAAGUAUACAAUUCACUCUCUCUAACAAGGUUGUUGCCUUACUUCACCACGCAUCAAUUCAAAUUUUUGGAUAUUGAUGUCUAAGCUUAAUGUCCCAUCGAUGCUUAGAACAAAUUUAGUGAAAUCUCAUUCUCUUUCACUUACCUAGUAACUUUACUGGUACAGUCAUUUAUGGGGGAUUGUUAGAAAUGACAUGUGGGCUUUGGCCCAACUAGCAAAGUUAAGAUAAAUUGUCCCACUUUGCUAAUUUUUGAAGUGGUAAAUGGGUAUAUACACCUAAGCAAUCAAAGGGAUUUCAAACUAUCCUGGUGGUGAUAGUAUAACCUUGUCACCACACGCGCUAUCAUCGCCAUCCGUCCGAUCGGACGGGCGGGCUCGGGUAACCGCACUUGCUCGAAAAAGGAUGUAAUUUUUAUUGCCUAUACUUUUGGUAAAUUUACCUUUUUAUCCCUUUCAUUCAAUGCCAAGUGUGGACACGUGUAGCACUCUUACAUAGUCGUUACCACUUGGUUCUAUCGUUCAACGUACGUGCGUUGUCUCGAUCUUAUAGUUGCGAUGAUCACUCCCAGCCAUGUUGUUUCGACGAUCAUUCUCGGCCUUGCUUUUCCAACGAUCGCUCUCAGCCACAUCCUGCCAUCCUCAGUUCUCUAUAAAUUCGAGGCAAUUCCUUUUGUUUCAACGUAUAGAAAUCAUUCAUUUCAACUCUCUUUUCUCUUCUCCUUUCUCCACUCUAUAUUCCCUAAAAGUUUUGAGCAUUUCAUAUGGUUUUGCUUCCAUUCCAUGUUUCGACGAGUGCACAUUUGAACUGGAAAGCUGUGUUAACCUUGGGGAGCAACCGACAUCACUAUUAGCACCACGGUCGGUGAAAUUGCUUUCAGGUCUUGAGGUUUUUUUCGAUCCUUGUGGGGCUUUAUCAAGGAUUGCUACAGUUGCAACUAGUAGGCAUACAUGCAUUGCAGUAUUGUGGUACUGAUUACUACCAUGCUAAAGCUUUGAUGGAGGAGAUGAAAAGUGUUAAGACUUACGCCCAAUCACAUUAGUUGGUCCAUUUUGCUUGAUGUAUGUGGAGGAUCUCAUGACGUGGAAAACGCUGUACAUAUCUUGACAAUAUGCGAAUGGCUAGAGUCAAUCCUGAUGAGCCCACUGUGACAAUUGGCUUGUGGUUUUAACUAAGGUUGACAAAAGAACAAUUGUAUGAAGUCCAAGAAUGUCAUCAUCAAGACACAACAAAUAACAUUUUGUUACGAUUUAUCUAUUCUAAUAGAACAAUUGUACAAAGCCCAAUGUUAUUAAAAACGCUAUUGAAACAUUUUGAUAGCGCUUUUCUAACGCAAUAAAAAACGCUAUCCAAUUUUCAGAAACAAUUUUU
Molecule: long non-coding RNA, 3891 nt
Organism: Cucumis melo (muskmelon)
Lineage: Eukaryota; Viridiplantae; Streptophyta; Magnoliopsida; Cucurbitales; Cucurbitaceae
Exons: 5
Source: RefSeq, a predicted model, not a curated record